This 212-nucleotide ribosomal RNA is filed under the name uncultured bacterium. RNAcentral describes it as "partial 16S ribosomal RNA". It matches the Rfam family "Bacterial small subunit ribosomal RNA", at positions 524 to 733 of the family's 1533-position model. The record is from RNAcentral.
UACGUAGGGGUGCGAGCGUUGUCCGGAAUUACUGGGCGUAAAGAGCUCGUAGGUGGUUUGUCGCGUUGUUCGUGAAAACUCACAGCUCAACUGUGGGCGUGCGGGCGAUACGGGCAGACUGGAGUACUGCAGGGGAGACUGGAAGUUCCUGGUGUAGCGGUGGAAAUGCGCGAUAUCAGGAGGAACACCGGUGGCGAAGGCGGGUCUCUGGG